RNAcentral lists this ribosomal RNA (497 nucleotides) under uncultured bacterium. RNAcentral describes it as "partial 16S ribosomal RNA". It matches the Rfam family "Bacterial small subunit ribosomal RNA", at positions 28 to 507 of the family's 1533-position model. The record is from RNAcentral.
GAUGAACGCUGGCGGCGUGCCUAAUACAUGCAAGUCGAGCGAACAGACGAGGAGCUUGCUCCUCUGACGUUAGCGGCGGACGGGUGAGUAACACGUGGAUAACCUACCUAUAAGACUGGGAUAACUUCGGGAAACCGGAGCUAAUACCGGAUAAUAUAUUGAACCGCAUGGUUCAAUAGUGAAAGACGGGUUUGCUGUCACUUAUAGAUGGAUCCGCGCCGCAUUAGCUAGUUGGUAAGGUAACGGCUUACCAAGGCAACGAUGCGUAGCCGACCUGAGAGGGUGAUCGGCCACACUGGAACUGAGACACGGUUCAGACUCCUACGGGAGGCAGCAGUAGGGAAUCUUCCGCAAUGGGCGAAAGCCUGACGGAGCAACGCCGCGUGAGUGAUGAAGGUCUUCGGAUCGUAAAACUCUGUUAUUAGGGAAGAACAACUGUGUAAGUAACUAUGCACGUCUUGACGGUACCUAAUCAGAAUGCCACGGCUAACUACGUG